RNAcentral lists this ribosomal RNA (404 nucleotides) under Verrucomicrobiota bacterium. Its description in RNAcentral is "Verrucomicrobia bacterium partial 16S ribosomal RNA". It matches the Rfam family "Bacterial small subunit ribosomal RNA", at positions 355 to 776 of the family's 1533-position model. Lineage: Bacteria; Pseudomonadati; Verrucomicrobiota. The record is from RNAcentral.
UGGGGAAUAUUGGACAAUGGGCGCAAGCCUGAUCCAGCCAUGCCGCGUGAGUGAUGAAGGCCCUAGGGUUGUAAAGCUCUUUCACCGGUGAAGAUAAUGACGGUAACCGGAGAAGAAGCCCCGGCUAAGUUCGUGCCAGCAGCCGCGGUAAUACGAAGGGGGCUAGCGUUGUUCGGAUUUACUGGGCGUAAAGCGCACGUAGGCGGACUUUUAAGUCAGGGGUGAAAUCCCGGGGCUCAACCCCGGAACUGCCUUUGAUACUGGAAGUCUUGAGUAUGGUAGCGGUGAGUGGAAUUCCGAGUGUAGAGGUGAAAUUCGUAGAUAUUCGGAGGAACACCAGUGGCGAAGGCGACUUUCUGGACUUUUACUGACGCUCAGGUACGAAAGCGUGGGGAGCAAACAGG